Molecule: ribosomal RNA, 484 nt
Filed under: uncultured bacterium
Lineage: Bacteria
Description: partial 16S ribosomal RNA
Rfam family: Bacterial small subunit ribosomal RNA
Source: RNAcentral
AUUGAACGCUGGCGGCAGGCCUAACACAUGCAAGUCGAGCGGAUGAAGGGAGCUUGCUCCUGGAUUCAGCGGCGGACGGGUGAGUAAUGCCUAGGAAUCUGCCUGGUAGUGGGGGAUAACGUCCGGAAACGGGCGCUAAUACCGCAUACGUCCUGAGGGAGCAAGUGGGGGAUCUUCGGACCUCACGCUAUCAGAUGAGCCUAGGUCGGAUUAGCUAGUUGGUGGGGUAAAGGCCUACCAAGGCGACGAUCCGUAACUGGUCUGAGAGGAUGAUCAGUCACACUGGAACUGAGACACGGUCCAGAGUCCUACGGGAGGCAGCAGUGGGGAAUAUUGGACAAUGGGCGAAAGCCUGAUCCAGCCAUGCCGCGUGUGUGAAGAAGGUCUUCGGAUUGUAAAGCACUUUAAGUUGGGAGGAAGGGCAGUAAGUUAAUACCUUGCUGUUUUGACGUUACCAACAGAAUAAGCACCGGCUAACUUCGUG